GGUGGGAGGCUUUGAAACCAGGACGCCAAUUUUGGCGGAGCCAGCCUUGGGAUACCGCCCUUGUAGUACUGGGACGCUAACCAUAGGCCAUGGAUCUGGGCUUGGGACACUGUCAGGUGGGCAGUUUGACUGGGGCGGUCGCCUCCCAAAAGGUAACGGAGGCGCUCAAAGGUUCUCUCAGUACGGUCGGAAAUCGUACGUAGAGUGUAAAGGCAAAAGAG
Molecule: ribosomal RNA, 221 nt
Filed under: Clostridioides difficile
Lineage: Bacteria; Bacillati; Bacillota; Clostridia; Peptostreptococcales; Peptostreptococcaceae
Description: partial 23S ribosomal RNA
Rfam family: Bacterial large subunit ribosomal RNA
Source: RNAcentral